GAAGAGAAAAUAGAUUGAAAUAUUGUCUCAUCUUUCCCCACCCCACUAUAUUAAGUAUAGAUAAACAAAUCCAAAAUUUCUACUCCUACUUAUCAGAGCUAAUUAACUUCUGCUUAAUAAGCAAACAACGUCUAGUAGGUUGAGUAAGAUACUCCAUGUUUUCGUUCUCUUAUAUCGUACCAUUUCCUCUUUCGGAUUACGUCAUAGUUCUGUCUAAAAUGUCCCCGGGGUUAUCAGCGCCAAAUUACUUCUGUUUAACGAGUAAACAAACUAUAAACUACAAGUCCGAUAAAGACGCACAUAGCACUGUAUUUAACAGCAAACAUUACAACCAAUAAGUUAGAUUUGAUUUUCACGAUUGUGGGGCUAACUAUCCUUGCCUCUCUCCUAAACAUAUCAUAUUACCCAAUCUACAACAUAACACCCCUACAUUUCAGUUCACCCCGCUUACGUAGCGACCCACUCCCUCGCGCCCCCUCUAACGCCGGCCCCUCACAAUGGGGGUUGGGAAAUCCCCUAGCUGCAAGAAGAAACCCACAAGAUGUUUUACCCGGCGUACCAGGCUCGCGACGUAACGACCCGUUGCCGCAACCACCGGAUGAUACAUCAUCGUCGUCAGGAUGACGUCACCGAAUAAUGACGUCACAGAAAUAAUUCACUUAGUCGUAAUAUGUAUUUGAAAACUUGCUCAUGGCAAGAAAUGAAAUCUUUUCAUAUGACGCGUGAUCUCGUGAUAAUAUCACAAACACGUCAUAUUCACGAAAAAUGUUCAUGAAAUGUUAAAUGUGUCAAGCUUAGGUGUCAAG
Ciona intestinalis (vase tunicate) is the source of this 806-nucleotide non-coding RNA. The record is from RefSeq and is a predicted model, not a curated record. Lineage: Eukaryota; Metazoa; Chordata; Ascidiacea; Phlebobranchia; Cionidae.